Molecule: ribosomal RNA, 852 nt
Filed under: Neohelicascus submersus
Lineage: Eukaryota; Fungi; Ascomycota; Dothideomycetes; Pleosporales; Morosphaeriaceae
Description: Pleosporales sp. WD-2020c partial large subunit ribosomal RNA
Rfam family: Eukaryotic large subunit ribosomal RNA
Source: RNAcentral
CAGGGAUUGCCCUAGUAACGGCGAGUGAAGCGGCAAUAGCUCAAAUUUGAAAUCUGGCUCUGCUCUAGGGUCCGAGUUGUAAUUUGUAGAGGGUGCUUUGGCACUGAUGGCGGUCUAAGUUCCUUGGAACAGGACAUCACAGAGGGUGAGAAUCCCGUAUGUGGUCGCUGAUCUUUGCCGUGUAAAGCCCCUUCAACGAGUCGAGUUGUUUGGGAAUGCAGCUCUAAAUGGGAGGUAAAUUUCUUCUAAAGCUAAAUAUUGGCCAGAGACCGAUAGCGCACAAGUAGAGUGAUCGAAAGAUGAAAAGCACUUUGGAAAGAGAGUCAAAAAGCACGUGAAAUUGUUGAAAGGGAAGCGCUUGCCGCCAGACUUGCCUGCAGUUGCUCACCUAGGCGUUCAGCCUGGGGCACUCUUCUGCAGGCAGGCCAGCAUCAGUUUGGGCAGCCGGAUAAAGGUCUCUGACACGUUCCUACCUUUGUGUAGGCCAUAUAGGGGAGACGUCAUGCGGUUAGCCUGGACUGAGGUCCGCGCAUUGCUAGGAUGCUGGCGUAAUGGCUGCAAGCGGCCCGUCUUGAAACACGGACCAAGGAGUCUAACAUCUAUGCGAGUGUUUGGGUGUCAAGCCCGAGCGCGCAAUAAACGUGAACGGAGGUGGGAACCCUCUUUGGGGGUGCACCAUCGACCGAUCCUGAUGUCUUCGGAUGGAUUUGAGUAAGAGCAUAGCUGUUGGGACCCGAAAGAUGGUGAACUAUGCUUGAAUAGGGUGAAGCCAGAGGAAACUCUGGUGGAGGCUCGCAGCGGUUCUGACGUGCAAAUCGAUCGUCAAAUUUGGGCAUAGGGGCGAAAGACUAA